Molecule: ribosomal RNA, 833 nt
Filed under: uncultured bacterium
Lineage: Bacteria
Description: bacterial SSU rRNA
Rfam family: Bacterial small subunit ribosomal RNA
Source: RNAcentral
GAACGCUGGCGGUAUGCUUUACACAUGCAAGUCGAACGGGCUUAGGAGCUUGCUCCUAAGUUAGUGGCGAACGGGUGAGUAAUAUAUCGGAACAUAUCCGGAAGUGGGGGAUAACGUAGCGAAAGUUACGCUAAUACCGCAUAUGCCCUGAGGGGGAAAGGGGGGGAUCGCAAGACCUCUCGCUUUCGGAGUGGCCGAUAUCGGAUUAGCUAGUAGGUGAGGUAAAGGCUCACCUAGGCGACGAUCCGUAGCUGGUCUGAGAGGACGACCAGCCACACUGGAACUGAGACACGGUCCAGACUCCUACGGGAGGCAGCAGUGGGGAAUUUUGGACAAUGGGCGAAAGCCUGAUCCAGCCAUGCCGCGUGAGUGAAGAAGGCCUUCGGGUUGUAAAGCUCUUUCGCAAGGGAAGAAGAUUUAGCUAUUAAUACUAGCUGAGGAUGACGGUACCUUGAUAAGAAGCACCGGCUAACUACGUGCCAGCAGCCGCGGUAAUACGUAGGGUGCGAGCGUUAAUCGGAAUUACUGGGCGUAAAGGGUGCGCAGGCGGUUUUGUAAGUCUGAUGUGAAAUCCCCGGGCUCAACCUGGGAACUGCGUUGGAAACUACAAGGCUAGAGUGUAGAAGAGGGGGGUAGAAUUCCACGUGUAGCAGUGAAAUGCGUAGAGAUGUGGAGGAAUACCGAUGGCGAAGGCAGCCCCCUGGGCUAACACUGACGCUCAUGCACGAAAGCGUGGGGAGCAAACAGGAUUAGAUACCCUGGUAGUCCACGCCCUAAACGAUGUCUACUAGUUGUUGGGAGAGUAAAAUCUCUUAGUAACGCAGCUAACGCGU